RNAcentral lists this non-coding RNA (45 nucleotides) under Schistosoma haematobium. The record is from RNAcentral. Lineage: Eukaryota; Metazoa; Platyhelminthes; Trematoda; Strigeidida; Schistosomatidae.
AUCCAGUUGAUGAGUCUCGAAUAGGGCGAAACGCGCGUCGUGGAU